UGACCUCGGAUCAGGUAGGACUACCCGCUGAACUUAAGCAUAUCAAUAAGCGGAGGAAAAGAAACCAACAGGGAUUGCCCCAGUAACGGCGAGUGAAGCGGCAACAGCUCAGAUUUGGAAUCUGGCCCCCAGGGCCCGAGUUGUAAUCUGGAGAGGAUGCUUCUGGCGCGGCGCCUUCCGAGUUCCCUGGAACGGGACGCCGGAGAGGGUGAGAGCCCCGUACGGUCGGACGCCUAGCCUUUGUGAAGCUCCUUCGACGAGUCGAGUAGUUUGGGAAUGCUGCUCAAAAUGGGAGGUAAAUUUCUUCUAAAGCUAAAUAUUGGCCAGAGACCGAUAGCGCACAAGUAGAGUGAUCGAAAGAUGAAAAGCACUUUGAAAAGAGGGUUAAAAAGUACGUGAAAUUGUUGAAAGGGAAGCGCCCGUGGCCAGACUUGUGCCCCGUGGACCACCCAGCGCCCUCAGCGCUGGUGCACUCCGCGGGGCGCAGGCCAGCAUCGGUUUUUCCAGGGGGACAAAGGCGGCGGGAACGUGGCUCCCUCGGGAGUGU
Molecule: ribosomal RNA, 547 nt
Filed under: Leptographium cainii
Lineage: Eukaryota; Fungi; Ascomycota; Sordariomycetes; Ophiostomatales; Ophiostomataceae
Also listed under: 1 other name
Description: eukaryotic LSU rRNA
Rfam family: Eukaryotic large subunit ribosomal RNA
Source: RNAcentral